This is a non-coding RNA of Erpetoichthys calabaricus (reedfish), 438 nucleotides long. The record is from the annotation of a RefSeq genome assembly. NCBI's taxonomy places the organism in Eukaryota, Metazoa, Chordata, Cladistia, Polypteriformes, Polypteridae.
AUGAAAAGAGACUGGAUUGAGAUUUCAUACCAGACACAGUUCAGCAGCAGACCUUCAAAAGUGCUUGAAAAAUACCUUUUAAUUAUAUUGUUUUCAUUUGAUUCACUUGGAUCUAUUGUAUCUGCUACUUGUGUUUCUGCUGAAAUAAAGCUGCAAGAAUCAGAUCCUGUAACUGUACUGCCAGGACAGUCACACCGGUUAUCGUGUAAAGCCUCUGGGUUCACAUUUAGUGACAUCUACAUGAACUGGAUUCGUCAGCCUCCUGGUAAAGGACUGGAAUGGGUGGCAACAAUAAGACCUGAUGCUAGCAAGACGUGGUAUGCAACAUCUGUUGAGGGACGAUUUACCAUCAGCAGGGAUAAUUCCAACAACAUGCUGUACUUACAAAUGAACAGUCUGCAGACUUCAGAUAUGGCCGUGUAUUACUGUGCUAAAUAA